CCACUGCUCCAUAGCACUCGAGAUGUGGAGCUCCUCUCAAAUGUCUUUUUUCUUAUAAAGAAAAAAGUCAAAUUUAAGCAUCUCACAACCGUAUCUAUUAAUCGAUGUGUUAUGGUGACUACCAGUUAAUAACAAGCUUCACUCCAGCUAGCAUGCACUUAAACGUAGAUGUAAAACAGUCGUGUUGUUUCAUUGCACUCUUCUCGAGUUCUAAAGCAACGAACAUCUGAGCUGAGAGCAGAAGCACGUACGUGUCCUAGAAGUCACGCACGAGACCCCU
This 280-nucleotide long non-coding RNA is filed under the name Elaeis guineensis (African oil palm). RNAcentral's name for it is "long non-coding RNA (EGUI_LNC062222)". The record is from RNAcentral. Lineage: Eukaryota; Viridiplantae; Streptophyta; Magnoliopsida; Arecales; Arecaceae.